AAACACAAUGAAGCAAUGCCUUCAAAACUCUAAGAGGAAAGGAUUUCCAUGCUAGAUUUCAUACCCUGCCAAACUACCAAUAAAUUAUUAGAAUGAAAUAAAGAUAUUUUUUGAGAUUAAAGGUCUAAAAACUUACAACCAGGCAUCCAAGAAGCUACUGAUGAUGUACUUCACAAACAUGAAAGAGUAAACCAAGAGAUGGGAAAACCUGGCAUACAAAUGCAGAGGAUCCAACACAGGAAAGAGAUCAAGAGAAUAUCACAGAAGAUGUAAAUAUGAUGAAGAGAUGAACUAAUUCAAACUGAAGUGGUAUGACUUGAGACAGGUACAGUGAGGAGUGUUAUCAUCAAGCUAUCUUCAGUCAUCACAUUCUCAUUAUCUGGAGGAAAAUAUUCUCAGGCAAGCCUGGCUCAGAUUCUUGUCUGUAUUUGGCUGGGCUUGGUCAUGUGCUAAUGAAGUUUCUCCCCUCCUCUCCAUUCCCUACAGCCAGGAUCAGCUGAGGACACCCACAAGAAAUAUUCUGAUUUGCCGAUUCCUGAGAGCUGAUGGGGGCCAUGAUAUCAACUAUGCUGAAUAAAAAUGGUAAGGUUGGAGCCAAGAUGGUGGCAUGAGUAGAGCAGGGGAAAUCUCCUCCCAAAACCACAUAUAUUUUUGAAAAUGCAACAAAGACAACUCUUCCUAAAAGAGACCAGAAGACACAGGACAACAGCCAGACUACAUCCACACCUGCGAGAACCCAGCACCUUGCAAAGGGGCUACUUGAGAAUAUGCUUCACCAAUGUGUGGGAGUAAACCAAGGAAAACGGAAAUGACAGGAUUUAACUGGAAACAGAUCUGACAUGAGAGACAAAGGAAUCUUCAGGUCACAUGGAAUAUAAU
This is a long non-coding RNA of Manis pentadactyla (Chinese pangolin), 879 nucleotides long. RefSeq lists it as uncharacterized. The transcript has 3 exons. NCBI's taxonomy places the organism in Eukaryota, Metazoa, Chordata, Mammalia, Pholidota, Manidae. The record is from RefSeq and is a predicted model, not a curated record.